UACGUAGGGCGCAAGCGUUAUCCGGAAUUAUUGGGCGUAAAGAGCGUGUAGGCGGCUAGGUAGGUCCGUUGUGAAAACUCGAGCUCAACCUCGAGACGCCGGUGGAAACCAUCUAGCUAGAGUCCGGAAGAGGAGAGUGGAAUUCCUGGUGUAGCGGUGAAAUUCGUAGAUAUCAGGAGGAACACCGGUGGCGAAGGCGGGUCUCUGGGCCGAUACUGACGGCUGAGGAGCGAAAGCGUGGGGAGCGAACAGG
Molecule: ribosomal RNA, 253 nt
Filed under: uncultured bacterium
Lineage: Bacteria
Description: partial 16S ribosomal RNA
Rfam family: Bacterial small subunit ribosomal RNA
Source: RNAcentral